UACGUAGGAUCCGAGCGUUAUCCGGAGUGACUGGGCGUAAAGAGUUGCGUAGGUGGUCGUAUAAGUGAAUAGUGAAAGCUGGUGGCUUAACCAUACAGUCUAUUAUUCAAACUGUACGACUCGAGAAUGGUAGAGGUAACUGGAAUUUCUAGUGUAGGAGUGAAAUCCGUAGAUAUUAGAAAGAACACCAAUGGCGUAGGCAGGUUACUGGACCAUUUCUGACACUAAGGCACGAAAGCGUGGGGAGCGAACCGG
RNAcentral lists this ribosomal RNA (255 nucleotides) under uncultured bacterium. Its description in RNAcentral is "partial 16S ribosomal RNA". It matches the Rfam family "Bacterial small subunit ribosomal RNA", at positions 524 to 776 of the family's 1533-position model. The record is from RNAcentral.